UACACUCCUACGGGAGGCAGCAGUGGGGAAUAUUGGACAAUGGGCGCAAGCCUGAUCCAGCCAUGCCGCGUGAGUGAUGAAGGCCCUAGGGUUGUAAAGCUCUUUUGUGCGGGAAGAUAAUGACGGUACCGCAAGAAUAAGCCCCGGCUAACUUCGUGCCAGCAGCCGCGGUAAUACGAAGGGGGCUAGCGUUGCUCGGAAUCACUGGGCGUAAAGGGUGCGUAGGCGGGUCUUUAAGUCAGGGGUGAAAUCCUGGAGCUCAACUCCAGAACUGCCUUUGAUACUGAAGAGCUUGAGUUCGGGAGAGGUGAGUGGAACUGCGAGUGUAGAGGUGAAAUUCGUAGAUAUUCGCAAGAACACCAGUGGCGAAGGCGGCUCACUGGCCCGAUACUGACGCUGAGGCACGAAAGCGUGGGGAGCAAACAGGAUUAGAUACCCGGGUAGUCCCAUGA
RNAcentral lists this ribosomal RNA (452 nucleotides) under uncultured organism. Its description in RNAcentral is "partial 16S ribosomal RNA". It matches the Rfam family "Bacterial small subunit ribosomal RNA", at positions 332 to 800 of the family's 1533-position model. The record is from RNAcentral.